AAGUGCGCUCGGGCUCCGUCAGGGCGGGCGCCGCUCCCAGGGACCGGAGCGCGGGGAGGCCGCGGCGGCCGAACGGGCUCGGAGCCCCCGCGCCGCGCUCGGAGCUGCUGCCGGCCUGCCGCGGGCUGCGAGGGGACACCGGCUGAAGCGAAAUGUGCCAGAAAUGGAUGGGGUAGCUGCUGGCCUGCGGGAUAAGUAUCCCCAGUGGAUGCUCACAGAGAGCCAGGACGAAGCUUCCUUGGGGCACACAAAGAAGCCUGGUGC
This 264-nucleotide long non-coding RNA is filed under the name Junco hyemalis (dark-eyed junco). RNAcentral describes it as "lncRNA (ENSJHYG00000001524.1)". Lineage: Eukaryota; Metazoa; Chordata; Aves; Passeriformes; Passerellidae. The record is from RNAcentral.